Molecule: microRNA, 21 nt
Filed under: Brachypodium distachyon (stiff brome)
Lineage: Eukaryota; Viridiplantae; Streptophyta; Magnoliopsida; Poales; Poaceae
Description: bdi-miR5181a-3p
Source: miRBase by way of RNAcentral
CGGCACUUAUUAUGGAUCAGA